This 492-nucleotide ribosomal RNA is filed under the name uncultured bacterium. RNAcentral describes it as "partial 16S ribosomal RNA". It matches the Rfam family "Bacterial small subunit ribosomal RNA", at positions 29 to 507 of the family's 1533-position model. The record is from RNAcentral.
AGUGAACGCUGGCGGUAGGCCUAACACAUGCAAGUCGAACGGCAGCACAGUAAGAGCUUGCUCUUACGGGUGGCGAGUGGCGGACGGAUGAGGAAUACAUCGGAAUCUACUUUUUCGUGGGGGAUAACGUAGGGAAACUUACGCUAAUACCGCAUACGACCUACGGGUGAAAGCAGGGGAUCUUCGCACCUUGCGCGAUUGAAUGAGCCGAUGUCGGAUUAGCUAGUUGGCGGGGUAAAGGCCAACCAAGGCGACGAUCCGUAGCUGGACUGAGAGGAUGAUCAGCCACACUGGAACUGAGACACGGUCCAGGCUCCUACGGGAGGGCGCAGUGGGGAAUAUUGGACAAUGGGCGCAAACCUUAUCCAGCCAUACCGCGUGUGUGACGAAGGCGUUCGGGUUGUAAAGCCCUUUUGUUGGGAAAGAAAAGCAUCCGGUUAAUACGCCGCUGUUGUGACGGUACCCAAAGAAUAAGCACCGGCUAACUUCGUG